UACGGGGGGGGCAAGCGUUGUUCGGAAUUACUGGGCGUAAAGGGCGCGUAGGCGGCCAACUAAGUCAGACGUGAAAUCCCUCAGCUUAACUGGGGAACUGCGUCUGAUACUGGAUGGCUUGAGUUUGGGAGAGGGAUGCGGAAUUCCAGGUGUAGCGGUGAAAUGCGUAGAUAUCUGGAGGAACACCGGUGGCGAAGGCGGCAUCCUGGACCAACACUGACGCUGAGGAGCGAAAGCCAGGGGAGCAAACGGG
RNAcentral lists this ribosomal RNA (253 nucleotides) under uncultured bacterium. RNAcentral describes it as "partial 16S ribosomal RNA". It matches the Rfam family "Bacterial small subunit ribosomal RNA", at positions 524 to 776 of the family's 1533-position model. The record is from RNAcentral.